AUAUAUAUAUCAAACUUCUCUUGUUGAGUGGUUUGGAUGUGGGGGUUUGCUGGCCUUGUAAAGGGUUCAGCUCCCCUGAAAUGCAUUAGCAGAACAACCCUGUUCAUUGGUGUGAUAACUAUCUACGCUAUUGAAUGUAAGGGGCAGUUCAGCUUUCUAACAGUCCUCGGACAAUUCAUCAUUA
Molecule: unclassified non-coding RNA, 184 nt
Filed under: uncultured Cortinariaceae
Lineage: Eukaryota; Fungi; Basidiomycota; Agaricomycetes; Agaricales; Cortinariaceae
Description: sequence contains ITS2
Source: RNAcentral